GACGAACGCUGGCGGCGUGCCUAAUACAUGCCAGUAGAACGCUGAAGGAGGAGCUUGCUUCUCUGGAUGAGUUGCGAACGGGUGAGUAACGCGUAGGUAACCUGCCUGGUAGCGGGGGAUAACUAUUGGAAACGAUAGCUAAUACCGCAUAAGAGUAGAUGUUGCAUGACAUUUGCUUAAAAGGUGCAAUUGCAUCACUACCAGAUGGACCUGCGUUGUAUUAGCUAGUUGGUGGGGUAACGGCUCACCAAGGCGACGAUACAUAGCCGACCUGAGAGGGUGAUCGGCCACACUGGGACUGAGACACGGCCCAGACUCCUACGGGAGGCAGCAGUAGGGAAUCUUCGGCAAUGGACGGAAGUCUGACCGAGCAACGCCGCGUGAGUGAAGAAGGGUUUCGGAUCGUAAAGCUCUGUUGUAAGAGAAGAACGAGUGUGAGAGUGGAAAGUUCACACUGUGACGGUAUCUUACCAGAAAGGGACGGCUAACUACGUG
RNAcentral lists this ribosomal RNA (495 nucleotides) under uncultured bacterium. RNAcentral describes it as "partial 16S ribosomal RNA". It matches the Rfam family "Bacterial small subunit ribosomal RNA", at positions 28 to 507 of the family's 1533-position model. The record is from RNAcentral.